AAGUUUCACAAUUGGGUAGGUGAGGAACCCAAACCCGAAUUGAAUAUCCAGCACGUCCAAAAAGAAGAAGAAGAGGGAAACACGUCCAAAAAAGAAGAAGAAGAGGCAUGUUCGAAGUUUGAACAGAAAGAACUCAUCUCUCUAAAACCCAGAGGUCUGAGAUACCCAAUGAAGGCAACGGCUAACGACAGUUGAAGGCAACGAUUCG
Molecule: long non-coding RNA, 208 nt
Filed under: Prunus persica (peach)
Lineage: Eukaryota; Viridiplantae; Streptophyta; Magnoliopsida; Rosales; Rosaceae
Description: long non-coding RNA (PPER_LNC006317)
Source: RNAcentral